UAGGGAAUCUUCCACAAUGGACGCAAGUCUGAUGGAGCAACGCCGCGUGAGUGAAGAAGGUUUUCGGACCGUAAAGCUCUGUUGUUGGUGAAGAAGGAUAGAGGUAGUAACUGGCCUUUAUUUGACGGUAAUCAACCAGAAAGUCACGGCUAACUACGUGCCAGCAGCCGCGGUAAUCGUAGGUGGCAAGCGUUGUCCGGAUUUAUUGGGCGUAAAGCGAGCGCAGGCGGAAGAAUAAGUCUGAUGUGAAAGCCCUCGGCUUAACCGAGGAAUUGCAUCGGAAACUGUUUUCUUGAGUGCAGAAGAGGAGAGUAGAACUCCAUGUGUAGCGGUGGAAUGCGUAGAUAUAUGGAAGAAUACCAGUGGCGAAGGCGGCUCUCUGGUCUGCAACUGACGCUGAGGCUCGAAAGCAUGGGUAGCGAACAGGAUUAGAUACCCUGGUAGUCCAUGCCGUAAACGAUGAGUGCUAAGUGUUG
This 476-nucleotide ribosomal RNA is filed under the name uncultured bacterium. RNAcentral's name for it is "partial 16S ribosomal RNA". It matches the Rfam family "Bacterial small subunit ribosomal RNA", at positions 355 to 825 of the family's 1533-position model. The record is from RNAcentral.